This 216-nucleotide ribosomal RNA is filed under the name Campeiostachys nutans. RNAcentral's name for it is "Elymus nutans partial small subunit ribosomal RNA". The stretch from base 38 to 216 matches the Rfam family "Eukaryotic small subunit ribosomal RNA", at positions 684 to 864 of the family's 1831-position model. Lineage: Eukaryota; Viridiplantae; Streptophyta; Magnoliopsida; Poales; Poaceae. The record is from RNAcentral.
GGAUCAAUUUGCUGAUCGUGCCUCUGGUACGUACUGGUAUUAUUGGUUUCUCCCUUCUGACGGACCAUGAUGUCAUUAAUUUGAUGUCGUGGAGAAUCAGGACUGUUACUUUGAAAAAAUUAGAGUGUUUAAAGCAGGCUAACGCCUGAAUACAUUAGCAUGGAAUAAUGAAAUAGGACGUUCGAUCCUAUUUUGUUGGUUUCUAGGUUUGACGUA